This 253-nucleotide ribosomal RNA is filed under the name uncultured bacterium. RNAcentral describes it as "partial 16S ribosomal RNA". It matches the Rfam family "Bacterial small subunit ribosomal RNA", at positions 524 to 776 of the family's 1533-position model. The record is from RNAcentral.
UACGGGGGGGGCAAGCGUUGUUCGGAAUUACUGGGCGUAAAGGGCUCGUAGGCGGCCAACUAAGUCGGACGUGAAAUCCCUCGGCUCAACUGGGGAACUGCGUCCGAUACUGGAUGGCUUGGAUUUGGGAGAGGGAUGCGGAAUUCCAGGUGUAGCGGUGAAAUGCGUAGAUAUCUGGAGGAACACCGGUGGCGAAGGCGGCAUCCUGGACCAAUAUUGACGCUGAGGAGCGAAAGCCAGGGGAGCAAACGGG